RNAcentral lists this long non-coding RNA (2042 nucleotides) under Ananas comosus (pineapple). RNAcentral describes it as "long non-coding RNA (ACOM_LNC032262)". Lineage: Eukaryota; Viridiplantae; Streptophyta; Magnoliopsida; Poales; Bromeliaceae. The record is from RNAcentral.
GGCGGCGUGGUUUCGUUCGCGUGUUCGCGAUUGACCACAAGCUGUUCGACCAUAAUCCUCAGUGAAGAUGCCACAUGGUAACUUGGUUGGUAAGUAGCUUUCAGCAACACAAGUUUCAAAUUUCUGGGACUGGAUAGUUAUGUGGUAAAAGUACGGGACUAGAUUUUAAAUUUUUAGAGGGACUAAGUUGAAACAUGGGAAAAAUACUAUGGGGGUUUUUGUUUGCUUAGCUGUAGAUAUAAUAGGUUCAAGAUUUAAACUUGCAACUGAAUUAGAGUAAUGGUUUGUUUUGUGGCACUUUCCACUUCAAAUUCUAUUUAUCGAUCAGUUAGUAUUAGCACAGCAGAACACAAAAUACGCUCUAUUAGACAUCCAAAAUUAGACUGAGUAGAAUAAAACGAGACAGCGAUGCUUGAGAAUAGUACGGGGUUAUCAAUUCGGAAAUGUCAGUGGGUGGGACAUGUUGGGUAGCGAGACUUCCCCGAUCCACUUUCUUAAGACUCCAGUCUCCGGUAGUAUUCGAUAAUUUCAUCCUGACUGAUUUAUUUGACCUAACUGGCUCCGUGUUGUGACUGCUGAUUGCUGAAGCAGCCAAAUUGCUAACAUUAUUUUCAAACAACAGCAAAGUACCGUAAAUUUCAUAAAGAUAAGCGAAAACAUCGACAAAUGGACACAAGCACAACAAUAAAUAUGCAUGAGCAAACAAAUUCACAAAAAUGAAGAUAAAAAACAAACAACCAAUAAUUAUGAACUCUAGGCUGUGGUCUUCGAGUCGGUAGUUUCAUAUCAUUUCAUUUCUCCUGUCAAAAUAAUUCUUGUUGGAAUCUGACCUGGUCUUAUCUCCACUUGAAAGUGUUUCUGUUGAAAGACAUUUCAUAUUCAUCAGUAAAAGAAACCGAGCUCACUCGAGGACAACAGAAGCAGAAGCAGUUUUAGCAUGUGACCUUGCAGGAAAUUUCAACUCGAGAACUUUGAAGCAGGCGCCGCACUUUAGCUUGUUGACUCUCUUCCUCGAUAGGACAAAAUCGACAGGCAUUUGAACUAGACUUGCGCAUUUCUCGUUGUCGCAGAUGAUAAAAGGCGCACCCCUUAAAAUCGGGCGACAGAAAUGUAUUCUGCGUGACCUCCCCGACUCAUUUUCAAGAACUGGCAGAGUCGCACUACUUGAUGGUUGAGAGAAUAAUUUCUGUGUAUUAGGCAUCGAUUCUGACCGCCAGACAUCCAGUCGCGGACGCGAAAUGGAAUUUCGGGGUAAGAAAGAAAUACUUCUGCGCCAAUGAUUCAGUCGAGUCGCGUCAUAUCUUGAUUUUUCAUUUUUAGUUCCAUGACUGCAAGUAUCAAAGAUAUGCCCCUCUUCCAAAUUGAUUGCAGCUUCUGUCGAAUGAAAAUCUUCAGAACCUGGCAGUGUUUCUCUCUCCACCUCACUGAUUCCGAAUCUAAAGGAGAACUCGUCUCUGCUCACAUCUGAGCUCGGCAAUUCAGCAGAUUGAAACCUCUCAUUUGACGAUUUCGAAGAAAGGAGCUCGUCCUCAAAAUUAGAUUCAAUAUCAGCAGUUGUCGUAUCAGUUCCUGAAGUACUUCCUUCUUUUCCUUGCUUCUCAUUCAUCAUCCUCUGUCGAAAAGUUCGUCUCGAUUUUACCUGUUGCCAUUUUCUCAAACGGCUACUGCUUCCAUCAUCAGACAAAGAAGCGCUUCCGUCGCAAGAACGAGGGCUUCUACUAGCUGAAGAUUUGAAAACCUCAGUAGGUGCGUUUCUCGAUGAGAAUUCCCUUGAUUCAUCGGUCAAUUUCGGUCCUUUAUUCCCAUCAUAUACAUGGAAGUUUUCAGUUUCAUCCACUUGAAUUGGGACUUUACCUUUUUGAGUACUAACAAAAGCAUUUUCAGAUUCUCUAUCUCCAUCUAAAUUUUCACCAGUUAUUGCUGAUUCUCCCUUAUCCUGAUGAUAACAACUCCCAUUUACACGCUCGACCUCCGAAAGAAGCGUAUUUGAUGAGCAAGAAGUACUCGUUCUUCCCCUCGAAGAGACUGAUAAAGUAUCUGGC